Molecule: ribosomal RNA, 358 nt
Filed under: gamma proteobacterium '13.5 MW-21'
Lineage: Bacteria; Pseudomonadati; Pseudomonadota; Gammaproteobacteria
Description: bacterial SSU rRNA
Rfam family: Bacterial small subunit ribosomal RNA
Source: RNAcentral
ACGACGGACGGGUGAGUAAUGCGUAGGAAGCUACCCGAUAGAGGGGGAUACCAGUUGGAAACGACUGUUAAUACCGCAUAAUGUCUACGGACCAAAGUGUGGGACCUUCGGGCCACAUGCUAUCGGAUGUGCCUACGUGGGAUUAGCUAGUUGGUGAGGUAAUGGCUCACCAAGGCGACGAUCCCUAGCUGGUUUGAGAGGAUGAUCAGCCACACUGGAACUGAGACACGGUCCAGACUCCUACGGGAGGCAGCAGUGGGGAAUAUUGGACAAUGGGCGCAAGCCUGAUCCAGCCAUGCCGCGUGUGUGAAGAAGGCCUUCGGGUUGUAAAGCACUUUCAGUAAGGAGGAAGCGUAGA